Molecule: ribosomal RNA, 496 nt
Filed under: uncultured bacterium
Lineage: Bacteria
Description: partial 16S ribosomal RNA
Rfam family: Bacterial small subunit ribosomal RNA
Source: RNAcentral
AUUGAACGCUGGCGGAAUGCUUUACACAUGCAAGUCGAACGGUAGAGGGGGCAACCCCUCGAGAGUGGCGAACGGGUGAGUAAUAUAUCGGAACGUGCCCAGUCGUGGGGGAUAACGUAGCGAAAGUUACGCUAAUACCGCAUACGAUAUAAGGAUGGAAGCGGGGGAUCGCAAGACCUCGCUCGAUUGGAGCGGCCGAUAUCAGAUUAGGUAGUUGGUGGGGUAAAGGCUCACCAAGCCAACGAUCUGUAGCUGGUCUGAGAGGACGACCAGCCACACUGGAACUGAGACACGGUCCAGACUCCUACGGGAGGCAGCAGUGGGGAAUUUUGGACAAUGGACGCAAGUCUGAUCCAGCCAUUCCGCGUGCAGGAUGAAGGCCCUCGGGUUGUAAGCUGCUUUUGUACGGAACGAAAAGGUCUCUCUUAAUACGGGGGGCUCAUGACGGUACCGUAAGAAUAAGCACCGGCUAACUACGUGCCAGCCGCCGCCGUAA